Molecule: long non-coding RNA, 939 nt
Filed under: Gallus gallus (chicken)
Lineage: Eukaryota; Metazoa; Chordata; Aves; Galliformes; Phasianidae
Source: RNAcentral
GAUAGGAAAAAAAUCCAGGUAAUGAAAAUUUGAGAAAACUGCUUGAAAUGGUGAAUUGUUAUUUGCAUUUGAAGUCAGAAAGCUUUUGCUCUUCCUUUCUUUCCCACCUCAUCUGUUGCACGUUCAGCAGCAGAGGGAGCUCUUACAAAGAUACAGAGGACUGGACGAAGCACAAAGACUCAGCAGGUUCUAAACGUUUUUUAUUUACAAUUUUAGACACUUUAUUCCAUCCAGCUCAGUUUAGUAUCAUCUACAGUUGCCAACAACGUUUCCUUCUAAAGGUAGUACAUGAAAGACUUCCAUCUCUUCUGCUCUCAGUCGAAAUCUGCCUUCCUGCUCUGUUUUAUAUUUGAGUGUAUCUUUUUCUGUCUUAAUCGUUCACGGUUCAUUUUUUCUACCCUGGCUAUGAGUUGCUGUGCAGUCUCCUUAGACACCACCUUGGGCUUCUCAGUAGCUUCUGUGACCAUGACUCUGAUCUUUUCUAAACAAAUUGCCAGGUUCCUCAUUUGGUAGCGACUCUCUUCAGAGUUCACAAUCAGCUCACCAGCUCGGUUUAUCUUAUUUCUGUGCAUUGAUGCCAUUUUUUCUCUUACAGCUUCUGGGAUCCAGUCUGCUGAUGCCAGGUGGAACCUGACUUCUGCCUUGGUAUUCACUUUAUUAACAUUCUGCCCACCAGGGCCGCUGCUCCGGCUGUAGGAUACAGUCAGUCGGUCCAUGGGAAUGUUGAAGGCCGCCGGCUUGGCCUCCUCCGGGUCGCUGGCGGUGCCGCCGUCCCGCGGCGGGUACAACUUGUCCAAGCUGUAGGCGCUGCGGAACUCGCUGCCGGUGGCGGCGCGCUGCGAGAAGCGGGCGGUGAGGAACCGCAGCCCCCAGGGCCCGCGCAGGGCGCGCGCCGCCAUCUUGGCGCUUUCGCAGUGCGCCGCGCCGCGGCGUCCCCUG